AUUGCCCUUAGAGUUUGAUCCUGGCUCAGGACGAACGCUGUCGGCGCGCCUAACACAAGCAAGUCGAACGAGAGAGAGGAAGCUUGCUUCCUCAAUCGAGUGGCGAACGGGUGAGUAACGCGUGAGGAACCUGCCUCAAAGAGGGGGACAACAGUUGGAAACGACUGCUAAUACCGCAUAAGCCCACAGCUCGGCAUCGAGCAGAGGGAAAAGGAGCAAUCCGCUUUGAGAUGGCCUCGCGUCCGAUUAGCUGGUUGGUGAGGUAAUGGCCCACCAAGGCGACGAUCGGUAGCCGGACUGAGAGGUUGAACGGCCACAUUGGGACUGAGACACGGCCCAGACUCCUACGGGAGGCAGCAGUGGGGAAUAUUGCACAAUGGGGGAAACCCUGAUGCAGCGACGCCGCGUGGAGGAAGAAGGUCUUCGGAUUGUAAACUCCUGUUGUUGAGGAAGAUAAUGACGGUACUCAACAAGGAAGUGACGGCUAACUACGUGCCAGCAGCCGCGGUAAAACGUAGGUCACAAGCGUUGUCCGGAAUUACUGGGUGUAAAGGGAGCGCAGGCGGGAAGACAAGUUGGAAGUGAAAUCUAUGGGCUCAACCCAUAAACUGCUUUCAAAACUGUUUUUCUUGAGUAGUGCAGAGGUAGGCGGAAUUCCCGGUGUAGCGGUGGAAUGCGUAGAUAUCGGGAGGAACACCAGUGGCGAAGGCGGCCUACUGGGCACCAACUGACGCUGAGGCUCGAAAGUGUGGGUAGCAACAGGAUUAGAUACCCUGGUAGUCCACACCGUAAACGAUGAUUACUAGGUGUUGGAGGAUUGACCCCUUCAGUGCCGCAGUUAACACAAUAAGUAAUCCACCUGGGGAGUACGACCGCAAGGUUGAAACUCAAAGGAAUUGACGGGGGCCCGCACAAGCAGUGGAGUAUGUGGUUUAAUUCGACGCAACGCGAAGAACCUUACCGAGUCUUGACAUCCUGCGACGCACAUAGAAAUAUGUGUUUCCUUCGGGACGCAGAGACAGGUGGUGCAUGGUUGUCGUCAGCUCGUGUCGUGAGAUGUUGGGUUAAGUCCCGCAACGAGCGCAACCCUUACUGUCAGUUACUACGCAAGAGGACUCUGGCAGGACUGCCGUUGACAAAACGGAGGAAGGUGGGGAUGACGUCAAAUCAUCAUGCCCUUUAUGACUUGGGCUACACACGUACUACAAUGGCGUUAAACAAAGAGAAGCAAGACCGCGAGGUGGAGCAAAACUCAGAAACAACGUCCCAGUUCGGACUGCAGGCUGCAACUCGCCUGCACGAAGUCGGAAUUGCUAGUAAUCGUGGAUCAGCAUGCCACGGUGAAUACGUUCNCCGGGCACUUGUACACACCGCCCGU
RNAcentral lists this ribosomal RNA (1378 nucleotides) under uncultured bacterium. RNAcentral describes it as "16S ribosomal RNA". It matches the Rfam family "Bacterial small subunit ribosomal RNA". The record is from RNAcentral.